RNAcentral lists this RNase P RNA (201 nucleotides) under Pseudonocardia sp. RNAcentral's name for it is "partial RNase P RNA component class A". It matches the Rfam family "Bacterial RNase P class A", at positions 1 to 200 of the family's 367-position model. From Rfam's summary of the family: Ribonuclease P (RNase P) is a ubiquitous endoribonuclease, found in archaea, bacteria and eukarya as well as chloroplasts and mitochondria. Its best characterised activity is the generation of mature 5'-ends of tRNAs by cleaving the 5'-leader elements of precursor-tRNAs. Lineage: Bacteria; Bacillati; Actinomycetota; Actinomycetes; Pseudonocardiales; Pseudonocardiaceae. The record is from RNAcentral.
CGAGCAGGCCGGGCGGCCGCGUCGCCGGUUGCGUGCAACCGUCGUCGAGGAAAGUCCGGACUCCGCAGGGCAGGGUGGUUGUCAACGGCAACCCGGGGCGACCCGCGGGAAAGUGCCACAGAGAACAGACCGCCUCGUGCGAGCGGGGUAAGGGUGAAACGGUGGUGUAAGAGACCACCAGCACCCCGGGUGACCGGGGUG